AUGUACACUCCUUUAUGUGGGCGCCCCAAGAACCCCAACCCUUAAACUUCUUAUUUCCCUCUGCAUGCUAGCUCCCAGUAUUGAUCUCAUCCAAGAGUUUUGUUCACAUUUGUAGACUUCCGAAUCAUAUUUAAAAAGUCAACAACAGAGCCGAGCGUGGUGGCGCAUGCCUUUAGUUCCAGCACUUGGGAGGCAGAGGCAGGCAGAUUUCUGAGUUCGAGGCCAGCCUGGUCUAUAAUAUAAAGUGAGUUCUAGGAUAGCCGGGGCUACACAGAGAAACCCUGUCUCAAAAACAAACAAACAAACAAACAAACAAACAAACAAACAAACACACACACACAAAAGAAAGUCAACAACAGUGCUAAUCAGAAUUAAAAUGGCUUUGCUAUGAAGGUUCAGAUCUGUUGAAUCUUGAGCAAGGCCUCUCUGUUUACUUCCUGUGUAUUUCUUCGCAUUCUCACUGAGAGGAAGGACCACUUUGGUUUUGUGUGGCUUUUCUAAGAAUUUACUCAGAACUUUCUCUAUCUGCAACAAGGCUCAUUCACUUGUUCAAUCAACAAAUAUUUAUUGCGUCCCUGCUAGAGGCAGCUGACUGAGUAAAGGGACACAAAGAGGCAAAAGGCACAGUCGCUGCCCAUCAGAAAUCGCCACCAGUGGAGAAUUAAAUUAAUUAGAAGCCCACUAAAUAACUGGUCUCAGUUAAGCUGAUGUGGUGAGAACAGUGGGCCUUUUAAAAUGCUAAUAUAUAAUUCACUUUGCCAAUGUAGACAGCAGUUCGGGGGGCGGGUAGCUCUGUGGGAUGAACGAGGAUGCUAUUCUUUAUGUAGCAUCAUUGGCAUGCAUACUUACAAACGGCUUUUCAAAGGGCAGAAAUGGGUGUAUCUUGGUGUCUCCUCGUGGAGCUGGCCCAGUCUUGUUUAUAAAUACCAGCACCACAGGAUUUAGAAAGAAAGUAGUAAUGGAGACAUAGCCUUUGUCCUGCAAUCAGAGAUAAGUGACCUGUACAGGGAUGGAGUCCGGGUAUUUUAAACCCCAAGGUUGAACUGCAACCAUUCACCUGCUGCUAAUUCAUUCUAAUGGAACUCAACAAAGAAGUCUGUAUUUCUCCCAUGGUCAGUAUUAAAAUGUCUCUCAGAAUACCCACAUACAAAGCUUCUUCAACACUCUGCAGUAUGCCAGGUGGUGUCCCAGUCACUAAAAGAACAAUCAGGAGGUACAAGACCAAUGUCCCUUUUCAGAGAGUGGGGUCUGUCCUAUUGGUGGGCAAGAUUGUAAGAAUAAAAACACAUGAUGAUGGAGGGGUCUGAAAUUAUUAAUUCAUAAACAAGACAUGAAAACUGGAGGGAUGCAGGAGUCAUUUCCUGGAGUAUGUAAAGAUGGU
This 1381-nucleotide long non-coding RNA is filed under the name Mus musculus (house mouse). RNAcentral's name for it is "long non-coding RNA chr11:24179458-24180839". The record is from RNAcentral. Lineage: Eukaryota; Metazoa; Chordata; Mammalia; Rodentia; Muridae.